AUUACAAAUUGUACUGAGUAGAACUUCCAGAAAUCAUAAAAGAGUUUAGCUAACUAGGGGGUUGUAAAUAACAGCAUCUGCAUCCAAGUAUUUGCGCCAAUUUUAAACCACCAGGCAGGUCAUGCCAAGAACAAUGAGAUUAGAGAAAGCCACAACAAAGCACAGAUGGUGUAGAAGAGAAAAUGAUUUACAUCUAAAUCCUUAUCACAGUUGGAAAAUUGAUUGAAUGAUGAAAUGGUCAUAAGAGGAGGAGAAAAGAUCUUGCAAUAUUAAGAGUUGACCAGCAGCAUAGCUUUCCAUAAAUGCAAUAAUGCCAGUGAACUGUAUACCAUUGGAAGAUUGCAUCAGGAAGAAGAUGACCGUUUGCAAUGCCAGUUAUAAAGCAUUCAAACUUCUUUUUGUGAAUAUUUCAAUCUAUGAAAAUGUGAUUGGGAAAUGUGAUGUGAAACGUGAAUGACAGAAUUGCUCGUGAUUUGCAUCUUUUAUGCCAAUUUAGGAGUAAAAAGAAUGGCAGGAGAGUACUCGGCAUGAUUCUCAAAACUGUGAUUCACUGUGAUUAUUGGAAUGUUUCAACUGUUUACUAUAAAACUCAGCCUUGGAUGUUAAAAUGCUGUGAAACGGUUAAUAUAUUCUAACAUGUAACUGUGCUUUGAAAAAGUAAAUGUAAGAUUAUGAUUUUUUAAAUUUUAAUGACAAUCCUUUACUAAUGAAUCUCAUUCACAUUU
This is a long non-coding RNA of Saccostrea cuccullata (small rock oyster), 725 nucleotides long. RefSeq lists it as uncharacterized. Lineage: Eukaryota; Metazoa; Mollusca; Bivalvia; Ostreida; Ostreidae. The record is from RefSeq and is a predicted model, not a curated record. The transcript is spliced from 3 exons.